RNAcentral lists this ribosomal RNA (207 nucleotides) under uncultured bacterium. RNAcentral's name for it is "partial 16S ribosomal RNA". It matches the Rfam family "Bacterial small subunit ribosomal RNA", at positions 1294 to 1500 of the family's 1533-position model. The record is from RNAcentral.
CGGAUUGAAGGCUGAAAUUCGCCUUCAUGAAGCUGGAAUUGCUAGUAAUGGCAGGUCAGCAUACUGCGGUGAAUACGUUCCCGGGUCUUGUACACACCGCCCGUCACACCAUGGGAGUUGGGAAUGCCCGAAGUCAGUGACCCAACCGCAAGGAGGGAGCUGCCGAAGGCAGGCUUGAUAACUGGGGUGAAGUCGUAACAAGGUAAC